RNAcentral lists this ribosomal RNA (538 nucleotides) under Brahmina crenicollis. RNAcentral's name for it is "eukaryotic LSU rRNA". It matches the Rfam family "Eukaryotic large subunit ribosomal RNA", at positions 710 to 1209 of the family's 3401-position model. The record is from RNAcentral. Lineage: Eukaryota; Metazoa; Arthropoda; Insecta; Coleoptera; Scarabaeidae.
AAAGGCGCAAUGAAAGUGAAGGUCCGCCUGGCGCGGACCGAGGGAGGAUGGGCGGACCCGAGGGACCGCCCCGCACUCCCGGGGCGUCUCGUUCUCAUCGCGAGAAGAGGCGCACCCAGAGCGUACACGCUGGGACCCGAAAGAUGGUGAACUAUGCCUGGUCAGGACGAAGUCAGGGGAAACCCUGAUGGAGGUCCGUAGCGAUUCUGACGUGCAAAUCGAUCGUCGGAACUGGGUAUAGGGGCGAAAGACUAAUCGAACCAUCUAGUAGCUGGUUCCCUCCGAAGUUUCCCUCAGGAUAGCUGGCGCUCGCUUCUGGCGAGUCUCAUUCGGUAAAGCGAAUGAUUAGAGGCAUUGGGGUCGAAACGGCCUCAACCUAUUCUCAAACUUUAAAUGGGUGAGAUCUCCGGCUUGCUUGAACUGUGAAGCCGCGAGAUAUCGGAUCAGAGUGCCAAGUGGGCCACUUUUGGUAAGCAGAACUGGCGCUGUGGGAUGAACCAAACGCCGAGUUAAAGCGCCUAAAUCGACGCCUAUGGGA